This 253-nucleotide ribosomal RNA is filed under the name uncultured bacterium. Its description in RNAcentral is "partial 16S ribosomal RNA". It matches the Rfam family "Bacterial small subunit ribosomal RNA", at positions 524 to 776 of the family's 1533-position model. The record is from RNAcentral.
UACAGAGGGUGCGAGCGUUAAUCGGAAUUACUGGGCGUAAAGCGUGCGUAGACGGUUAUUUAAGUCGGGUGUGAAAGCCCCGGGCUCAACCUGGGAAUUGCAUUCGAGACUGAAUAGCUAGGGUACGGUAGAGGAAAGCGGAAUUUCCGGUGUAGCGGUGAAAUGCGUAGAUAUCGGAAGGAACAUCAGUGGCGAAAGCGGCUUCCUGGACCAGUACCGACGUUCAGGCACGAAAGCGUGGGGAGCAAACAGG